UACGUAGGGACCAAGCGUUGUUCGGAUUUACUGGGCGUAAAGGGCGCGUAGGCGGCUUAACAAGUCACUUGUGAAAUCUCCGGGCUUAACUCGGAACGGCCAAGUGAAACUGUCAAGCUAGAGUGCAGAAGGGGCAAUCGGAAUUCUUGGUGUAGCGGUGAAAUGCGUGGAUAUCAAGAGGAACACCUGAGGUGAAGACGGGUUGCUGGGCUGACACUGACGCUGAGGCGCGAAAGCCAGGGGAGCAAACGGG
This 253-nucleotide ribosomal RNA is filed under the name uncultured bacterium. RNAcentral's name for it is "partial 16S ribosomal RNA". It matches the Rfam family "Bacterial small subunit ribosomal RNA", at positions 524 to 776 of the family's 1533-position model. The record is from RNAcentral.